ACAGCCACAUCAAUUUGAAACACCGGUUCUCAUACGAUCACCGAAGUUAAGCAACGUCGAACCUGGUCAGUACCUAGAAGGGUGACCACUUGAUAAUUUCUGCCGCUGUAA
Acanthosepion pharaonis is the source of this 111-nucleotide non-coding RNA. NCBI's taxonomy places the organism in Eukaryota, Metazoa, Mollusca, Cephalopoda, Sepiida, Sepiidae. The record is from the annotation of a GenBank genome assembly.